UACAGAGGGUGCAAGCGUUAUCCGGAAUGAUUGGGCGUAAAGGGCUCGUAGGCGGCCAACUAAGUCAGACGUGAAAUCCCUCGGCUUAACCGGGGAACUGCGUCUGAUACUGGAUGGCUUGAGAUUGGGAGAGGGAUGCGGAAUUCCAGGUGUAGCGGUGAAAUGCGUAGAUAUCUGGAGGAACACCGGUGGCGAAGGCGGCAUCCUGGACCAACACUGACGCUGAGGAGCGAAAGCCAGGGGAGCAAACGGG
This 253-nucleotide ribosomal RNA is filed under the name uncultured bacterium. RNAcentral describes it as "partial 16S ribosomal RNA". It matches the Rfam family "Bacterial small subunit ribosomal RNA", at positions 524 to 776 of the family's 1533-position model. The record is from RNAcentral.